RNAcentral lists this unclassified non-coding RNA (340 nucleotides) under soil metagenome. Its description in RNAcentral is "partial contains 5.8S ribosomal RNA, internal transcribed spacer 2, and large subunit ribosomal RNA". The stretch from base 1 to 121 matches the Rfam family "5.8S ribosomal RNA", at positions 35 to 154 of the family's 154-position model. The record is from RNAcentral.
GAUGAAGAACGCAGCGAAAUGCGAUAAGUAAUGCGAAUUGCAGAAUUUCCGUGAGUCAUCGAAUCUUUGAACGCACAUUGCGCCCAUUAGUAUUCUAGUGGGCAUGCCUGUUCGAGCGUCAUUUCAACCCUCAAGCUCUCUUGCUUGGUGUUGGGGCUUCUGCGGCUUCGGCCGCAGGCCCUGAAAAACAGUGGCGGGCUCGCUAUAACUCCGAGCGUAGUAAUCUCUCUCGCUUUGGAAGUGUGGCGGUUCCCGGCCGUUAAACCCCCCAAUUUCUGAAUGUUGACCUCGGAUCAGGUAGGAAUACCCGCUGAACUUAAGCAUAUCAAUAAGCGGAGGA